GUAGUUCUCUGUUGUUGUCCAGGGUCAGUCCUCUGCCUCUAAUACCACAGACUGACUGUAGUUCUCUGUUGUUGUCCAGGGUCAGUCCUCUGCCUCUAAUACCACAGACUGACUGUAGUUCUCUGUUGUUGUCCAGGGUCAGUCCUUGUGUCGGGGGCGUAUGACAGACUGACUGUAGUUCUGUUGUUGUCCAGGGUCAGUCCUCUGCCUCUAAUACCACAGACUGACUGUAGUUCUCUGUUGUUGUCCAGGGUCAGUCCUCUGCCUCUAAUACCACAGACUGACUGUAGUUCUCUGUUGUUGUCCAGGGUCAGUCCUCUGCCUCUAAUACCACAGACUGACUGUAGUUCUCUGUUGUUGUCCAGGGUCAGUCCUUGUGUCGGGGGCAUAUGAUAGAACAGUGGCUGUGUGGAACAUGGAGACCCUCUGCAAGACCCUGGAGUUGAAGGGACAUGCGGAUUGGGUGACAGAUGUGGCAAUCAGUGCUGACAAAAAAUGGGUGGCCUCAGCUUCCAAGGACACCACUGUCAGGUUGUGGAAUAUAGAACACUCUGAAGAGAUACCGGCCGUUAUUGAGACCAGGAAGGCUCAGGGAAUGGGCUAUCAUAUCCUCCAGGUUGGUAAUUGUACCACACACUGCUACCUUGUAUGUAGAGUGAGACCUGAUCCUAGAUCACCACUCCUACCCUGAGACCUGAUCCUAGAUCACCACUCCUACCCUGGGGCCUGAUCCUAGACCUGAUCCUAGAUCACCACUCCUACCCUGGGGCCUGAUCCUAGACCUGAUCCUAGAUAACCACUCCUACCCUGAGACCUGAUCCUAGAUCACCACUCCUAUCCUGAGACCUGAUCCUAGAUCACCACUCCUACCCGGAGACCUGAUCCUAGAUCACCACUCCUACCCGGAGACCUGAUCCUAGAUCACCACUCCUACCCUGAGACCUGAUCCUAGACAACCACUCCUACCCUGAGACCUG
This 977-nucleotide long non-coding RNA is filed under the name Oncorhynchus mykiss (rainbow trout). Its description in RNAcentral is "lncRNA (ENSOMYG00000054512.1)". The record is from RNAcentral. Lineage: Eukaryota; Metazoa; Chordata; Actinopteri; Salmoniformes; Salmonidae.